AUCUUUGCGCUUGGGGCAAUGACACAGCUAAUGAGGUAUUAACUGAGGCGCGUCUAUUGCUGGUUGAAAACUAUUUCCAAACCGCCUCUUAGGCUUGGGGUCUCUUCAAGCCUUUGAGAAUUUCUGGAAGGGCUCUCUUUUUGGGUAAAGCC
Trifolium pratense (red clover) is the source of this 152-nucleotide small nuclear RNA. RefSeq annotates it as U4 spliceosomal RNA. The transcript has a single exon. The record is from RefSeq and is a predicted model, not a curated record. Lineage: Eukaryota; Viridiplantae; Streptophyta; Magnoliopsida; Fabales; Fabaceae.